AUUGAACGCUGGCGGCAUGCCUUACACAUGCAAGUCGAACGGCAGCACGGGUGCUUGCACCUGGUGGCGUGUGGCGAACGGGUGAGUAAUACAUCGGAACGUACCUUAUCGUGGGGGAUAACGCAGCGAAAGCUGUGCUAAUACCGCAUAAGCCCUGAGGGGGAAAGCGGGGGAUCGAAAGACCUCGCGCGAUUAGAGCGGCCGAUGCCUGAUUAGCUUGUUGGUGGGGUAAAAGCCCACCAAGGCGACGAUCAGUAGCUGGUCUGAGAGGACGAUCAGCCACACUGGGACUGAGACACGGCCCAGACUCCUACGGGAGGCAGCAGUGGGGAGUUUUGAACAAUGGGGGCAACCCUGAUCCAACAAUGCCGCGUGAGUGAAGAAGGCCUUCGGGUUGUAAAGCUCUUUUGUCAGGGAAGAAACACCGGCUCUAACACAGUCCGGGAAUGACGGUACCUGAAGAAUAAGCACCGGCUAACUACGUGCCAGCAGCCGCCGUAA
This 501-nucleotide ribosomal RNA is filed under the name uncultured bacterium. RNAcentral's name for it is "partial 16S ribosomal RNA". It matches the Rfam family "Bacterial small subunit ribosomal RNA", at positions 30 to 523 of the family's 1533-position model. The record is from RNAcentral.